CCUACGGGCGGCAGCAGUAGGGAAUCUUUCACAAUGGGCGAAAGCCUGAUGGAGCAACGCCGCGUGCAGGAUGAAGGCCUUCGGGUUGUAAACUGCUUUUAUAAGCGAGAAAUAUGAUGGUAACUUAUGAAUAAGGAUCGGCUAACUACGUGCCAGCAGCCGCGGUCAUACGUAGGAUCCGAGCAUUAUCCGGAGUGACUGGGUGUAAAGAGUUGCGUAGGUUGCAUAAUAAGUAGCUAGUGAAAUCUGGUGGCUCAACCAUUCAGACUAUUAGCUAAACUGUUAAGCUCGAGACCGUUAGGGGUAACUGGAAUUUCUAGUGUAGGAGUGAAAUCCGUAGAUAUUAGAAGGAACACCAAUAGCGUAGGCAGGUUGCUGGGACGGUUCUGACACGAAGGCACGAAAGCGUAGGGAGCAAACGGGAUUAGAUACCCCGGUAGUC
RNAcentral lists this ribosomal RNA (442 nucleotides) under uncultured bacterium. RNAcentral describes it as "partial 16S ribosomal RNA". It matches the Rfam family "Bacterial small subunit ribosomal RNA", at positions 338 to 795 of the family's 1533-position model. The record is from RNAcentral.